AAGAAAGGGACCCGGUUUUAUACGGAGCACGUGGAAGAUCUACGGUGAAUCUUCAAAGGACAGAUCCAGAAAUCAUAUUAUCUUCUGAAUCCCUCCCUAGCCUACUGACCAGACAAAAAACUUUAGGCCAAUUAGGCCUAUGAGCCUAUUUAUAAUGUGAAUAUUUUCACUUUUCAGACCUAAAAUCCCCUCAUUUAGACUGCACAGAAAUGGGGUUUUCUGUAUCUUUUUUCAUUUAUGGGUAGAGUCUUGUCUCUCGUUGUUCAUUCUUUUUCCUUUUGUAGUUAUCAAUGUUUCUGAAUUGGGUUAGUACAGGAAUGGGAUGCGUGGGAAAGACUCAACCUCUAUAGCAGUAGUAAUAAUGUAGCUGAGUGUUUGCAAUUUGUCUCUAUUCAGCCUCCCCUGGUUUGAAUGGGGGAAAGAAAAUGUUAAUUUCUGAAUGUUUGCAUAAGAGAAUAAAAUCACAAAAGUUGUGAGAGGCAAUCAAAUGUUGAAAUUGGCAAGGACUGCAACAAAUGUUGAAGGAAAUAAGUGGAGGCAACUCUUAGUGUUCCUUCACGCUUGGAGAGGUUGAUUUAUAUGAAAUGGGCAAAGGCAGAAGUUGGCAUUCAAGUGUCAGUAAAUGCUACAAGUCCAUUUAUCUGUGUUUUCAACAUUAUGGAAUAAUAUGGAAUAUGAUUGAGCCAUGCAAAACUUAUAUGAAGGUAGUCAAGGGGAUAUUGAGGAACUGUUGGUAUGUCGAUGUCUGCGCUUUCAAAGUAUAGGGUUUCUAAUUCUGUGCAACAGAAGCAUUGCAGGGUUCAUUGUUUUAGUGUGUUCUGAAUUUUGAAGGGUACCUUGACUAAAUCAAAUUAGUGUUUUAUUUCUCUGCAGAUGGCCGCUUCCAUAUUAUUGAUAUAUAAAUAUUCUAUCUUCCUCCAAAUGGAAGCUCUCUCAUAUGACAUCAAUUAUUUUGACUGCAGAUAGUCUUAUUUCCUAUCCAAGGAUUUCAAUUAAAGAAAAAGAAAAAUAAGGGUGUAAAGGUGGGAAAGUAUUUGUUGUCAAUACACCUAGGCUAAACAAGGCUUAACUGCAUAUGUUGGUUAAUAAGAUGAAGUGCAUACAUAGGCUGGCAUCAAUGUGUUCCGGCUCCUCAUUUUGUACUUGCUUUUAACCUGCCCAUCCAGCUUCGUUCAACAAAUGUUUACCUGUGUUAAAAUUUCUUUCAAACUACAUUUCGAGAGCCAUUUUUGUAGUACAUCAAUCUCUUUUUUCAUUGUAAUAGCUUCAAAUUUAUUGUUUCUUGA
Cryptomeria japonica (Japanese cedar) is the source of this 1286-nucleotide long non-coding RNA. RefSeq lists it as uncharacterized. The transcript has 3 exons. The record is from RefSeq and is a predicted model, not a curated record. Lineage: Eukaryota; Viridiplantae; Streptophyta; Pinopsida; Cupressales; Cupressaceae.